CUCCCUUUCGUAGGUGACCUGCGGAAGGACAU
Molecule: ribosomal RNA, 32 nt
Filed under: Parmotrema tinctorum
Lineage: Eukaryota; Fungi; Ascomycota; Lecanoromycetes; Lecanorales; Parmeliaceae
Description: partial 18S ribosomal RNA
Source: RNAcentral